CUACGGGAGGCUGCAGUGAGGAAUAUUGCACAAUGGGGGGAACCCUGAUGCAGCAACGCCGCGUGGAGGAUGACGCAUUUCGGUGUGUAAACUCCUUUUAUAUGUCAAGAAAAUGACGGUAGCAUAUGAAUAAGCACCGGCUAACUCCGUGCCAGCAGCCGCGGUAAUACGGAGGGUGCAAGCGUUACUCGGAAUCACUGGCGUAAAGGACGCGUAGGCGGGUUGGAAAGUCAGGUGUGAAAUCCUACAGCUUAACUGUGGAACUGCACUUGAAACUUCUAAUCUAGAGUAUGGGAGGGGGAGAUGGAAUUAGUGGUGUAGGGGUAAAAUCCGUAGAUAUCACUAGGAAUACCUAAAGCGAAGGCGAUCUCCUGGAACAUUACUGACGCUAAGGCGUGAAAGCGUGGGGAGCAAACAGGAUUAGAUACCCGAGUAGUC
RNAcentral lists this ribosomal RNA (438 nucleotides) under uncultured bacterium. RNAcentral describes it as "partial 16S ribosomal RNA". It matches the Rfam family "Bacterial small subunit ribosomal RNA", at positions 339 to 795 of the family's 1533-position model. The record is from RNAcentral.